UCCCUAGUGGCUUACACGGUGAAGUGUCUGCCUACUAGGCAGGAGACCUGGGUUGGAUCCCUGGGUGGGGAA
This 72-nucleotide transfer RNA is filed under the name Bos taurus (domestic cattle). It matches the Rfam family "tRNA". From Rfam's summary of the family: Transfer RNA (tRNA) molecules are approximately 80 nucleotides in length. Their secondary structure includes four short double-helical elements and three loops (D, anti-codon, and T loops). Further hydrogen bonds mediate the characteristic L-shaped molecular structure. tRNAs have two regions of fundamental functional importance: the anti-codon, which is responsible for specific mRNA codon recognition, and the 3' end, to which the tRNAs corresponding amino acid is attached (by aminoacyl-tRNA synthetases). tRNAs cope with the degeneracy of the genetic code in two manners: having more than one tRNA (with a specific anti-codon) for a particular amino acid; and 'wobble' base-pairing, i.e. permitting non-standard base-pairing at the 3rd anti-codon position. The record is from Rfam by way of RNAcentral. Lineage: Eukaryota; Metazoa; Chordata; Mammalia; Artiodactyla; Bovidae. RNAcentral also lists the same sequence under 4 other names.